This 6186-nucleotide long non-coding RNA is filed under the name Homo sapiens (human). RNAcentral describes it as "non-protein coding PPP1R26-AS1:17". The record is from RNAcentral. Lineage: Eukaryota; Metazoa; Chordata; Mammalia; Primates; Hominidae.
ACUACAAGCGUCCCCCAGCAAAGCUGCACCGCCAUUUCCUGUGCUUGGGAACUGAAGGCAAGCCUACACCCAGGAAUGCACAAGGACAGCUUGGAGCUUAGAAGCAAGUGGAGUUGGUUCAUCUCUUUCACUGGCUCAUAAUUUUGCAACGGCGGUUUCAUCUCUACCCUGACAAUACCUUUUAGUUUUCUUACCCACUGGGGUCGAGACUUAAUUGAAGACCUCAGACGGACAGCAUAACACGGAACCUGAGACCUUGAUUUGCGGGGACAGGCUUAAAGUGUAUUCUGGAGUUGGUGCCCCCACCCCAGGGGCCGGCUCAGAGGGUUCACUUUCCAGCCUAACGGCAGGGGAACCAGAGGCUGCCGACCUGGAUCUCACCUUGAUGGAGGUCUUGUCACCUUCCUCCUUGGCUGGAGAGACAGACUGUGGAUGCUCUCCUGCUGGCCACCCAAAAACAACAAACAGACAAACAAAUAUGAAUGAGGAAAACUUGAAGAGGCCCCACGUGCCAGAGGUGGGACAGCUUGAGAUUUGGUGAGGAUAAUUGCAGUGGCUCAAAACCCAUAAAGAAGUUUAAGUCCAUGAGUUCACCGUAAUCUGAAACAAAAACAAAAACAAAAACAAAUUGAUCAUCUUUGGAGGCUAACAAUCAAUUCAUUAUCUAGAGACAGACAGAGGCUCACUAGUGGCACGAUCUUGGCUGAUUGCAUCUUCCACCUCCUGGGUUCAAGAGAUUCUUGUGCCUUAGCUUCCUGAGUAGCUAAGAUUACAGAUCACAAGCAAUCAGGCUGAUCCCGCCUGAGCCCUGAGCUCCCUGGGACCCAGCAGCAGCUGUGCAUUGGCACGUGGUGCCCUGUGUCUGAUCAGCUGACUCCUCAGGCAAAACCUGCACCAUUUUCACCAGAAUUGCAGAUGUCCUCAGUGUCAUUACAAAGUUCCUAAGUCAUGACCAUUCUGUCCUGUGGAACCAGGCUGGACUAAGCUCCCAUUUCUUUAAGCCAUCCUGUCCCCUGCAGGGACUUCCAAGGUGGAGCUGAUGAGCAAUAGUUAUGAGUCAUUGGAGGAGACAUCCCAGAGGCGCCAGCUCCCCUCUGCCCUAAACUGAAAUUAAGACCUGGUGCUCUGGGUGGGGCCCCUGGAAGGGGAUGUGCAACUCAGAGGGGACCUUCUCCACCUCCACCCAGGAGACCCCAGAGGGACCAUGGCAGAGCCGGAGCCCUCUUUUUUUUUGUUCGUUUUUUAUUUUAUUAUUAUUAUACUUUAAGUUUUAGCCCUCUUUUAAAAACCAAAUGAAAAUAAGCAAAAGAAGCCAAUCGUCUCUGUGAAAUGUCCAGAAGAGGGAACUCUGUAGAGACAGAGAGGAUAUUAUUGGCUGCCGGAGGCUGGGAAUGGGAAGGUGAGGGGCCUGGGGAGGUGAUGGUUAAAAGAUUCUUCUUUGUGGUGAUGAAAUUGUCUUAAAAUGGACUGUGGUGAUAGUUGUGCAACUUGGUGAAUAUAUAAGUUAUUGAAUUGUACACUUUAAAUGGGUGAAUUGUAUGGUGUGUGAAACAUAUCUCAAUAAAGCUGUUAUUUGAAAAAUAAAUAAGUAAAUAAGUGAAGUCCCUGGGCUGGAGCCGGGGGGAUGCGGUUGUUCACUCUAGCUGCACUUGCUGUAGGCCCUGGGCAAGACCUUUCUGCACCCUGGCCCUCAGUUUCUCCAAUCUGGAACACGUGGGGUCGGCCAAGGUCUCCACAGGCCUUCUCCAGCAGUGUGUGACAGUGUGGAGUGCCUGCAGAGAAGGCACCUGGGUCUCUCUGAGGAGCAGAGAAGGGGACUGGGGCUGCAGGAAUGUGGCUUCACUGUGGGCUUGGGUAUCUGUGAGGUCCUGUCUGGGAGAAGCCUUCUCCUUCCCGCCACUCUCCACCUGGCUGGGACUCUUCCUUCAUGGCUCAUAUGGAAAUGACAGCCACAGAACGCUGCGUGCUCACCUGAUGUUCACCUGAGUCGAGGCUCCUGAGUGUGGGAUUGGCCCAGCACCUGGCAGAGAGUUAGAGUCAGACGACAGCAGAUGCCAACAGAAAACAAAAGCGAACCCUGGAAACGGUUUGGAGCCGUCUAGGAGCCAGCCUUGGGAAUGCAGAAAAAGGGAGGGCUCAGCCGUGCCCUCCCAGAGCUGCAGGUGAACAAGGAGUCAGUGCGGUGGGACUCGGCCACUGCAGCGCGGGCAGGUGCUCCAGUGAGGCGAGGCAGGGCUGGGGGAUUUUACAAACCCAUUAUUUCAAAAUAAUUUCAGGCACACAGAAAGGGUGCAGACAUAGUACAAAUAUUUCCCUUCUCUCCUUAACCCAGAUUACCCAAAUGUUCACAUUCAAUCACAUUUAUAUCUGUUAUUUUCAUUCUUUCAUUAUUUUUUCACUAGUUUUAGAUCCAAUGAUGAGUCUUGCCUGAAAACAUUAUUACUAUGAUACUUGCCAAAUGGUUUUUCCAACACCAUCUUUUCUCCUACAGUUAUCAGUUGGCAUUCUAUGUAAAUAAGACUUUCCUCUCUCCCUUUUUUUUGAGAUGGAGUUUUGCUCUUGUUGCCCAGGCUGGAAUGCAAUGGUGUGAUCUCGGUUCACUGCAACCUCCACCUCCUGGUUUCAAGCAAUUCUCCUGCCUCAGCCUCCUGAGUAACUGGGAUUAUAGGCAUGCGCCACCACGCCUGGCUAAUUUUGUAUUUUUAGUAGAGACGGGGUUUCUCCAUGUUGAUCAGGCUGGUCUCGAACUCCCGACCUCAGGUGAUCCAACCGCCUCGGCCUUCCAAAGUGCUGGGAUUACAGGCGUGAACCACUGCACCCGGCUAACCCUUCUUAUGUGUGUGUGUAUGUGUGUACGUAAGUGUGGACUCGUGGACUAUUAUUUAUGGAUUAUAAUUUAUUUACUAUCAUUCUUUAGUUUGUUGUUCAAAUUGUCCCUGAUGUGGGAGAGUUUGCAGACGGGAGUGUCACAGUUAGAUUUAGGUUUUGAGAGAAUCCUGUAAACCACAGUGAGUGCCACUACUCACAUACCAGAGUCGUUGAAAUUGGAAACGUCAGCCAUGCUGAGCGUCGAGGAAGCUGCGGAGCUGUGGCAAUGCUCGUACACCGCUGGUGGAAAUGGACAAUCCUGGGGCAGGCAAUCCCGAGAACAGUUUAGCAGUUUCUUAUAAAGUUAAACAUACACUCAUCAUGUGACCCAGGGAUUCUACUCCUACAUAUUCACCUAAGAGCAUUUAAAAUAACACAUCUUCACAAAACCUUCCACGCCGAUGCUCAGAGGGGCUUUAUUCAUUAGAGCCCCAGACAGAAAACAACCCCGAUGUCUAUAAACUGCAGAAUGGGUCCAAAAGACGGUCGUAUUUCCAUUCAGUGAAACAGCCUCAACUCAGAAGAGGAAUUAAGUACAGACACACACAGCAUGGGAGAAUCUCAGAAACAUGACCCUAGCUGAAAGGAGCAGAGAAUAAACUGUGUGGUUCUAUUUAUACAAAAUCCUAUAACUUGCAAAACUCUAAGAACAGAAAGCAGAUCAGUGGGUGUUCGGAACUGGGGCUGGGAGGGUAAGGAGGAGUUUGAUUAAAAAGCAGCAGGUCAGAAGUUUUGAGGUGAUGAAAAUGCUCUAAUCACGACUGUGGGGUGGCCACACACAGCGCACAAUGCAAAGCACGUGGAGCUUUACUUCUGAACUGGUCAGUUUUACUCCGUGUGUAAUUAGACCUUCAUAACCUGACUCUGAGAAAGCAAAAACCAUUUCUCAGGUUCUUGUGGGGAUCGCAGACCACAGGGCAGAGUGGAAGCAGGUUGACAGCGUGGGGUCAGAGUUGGGAUUUAUUUCCGUGGAGAGUUGACCAGACUUGUUGAGUGGUUGGAUGCGGGGUGGGAAAAGAAGGGUAAAGGGGGCCCCUGGGGUCUGGAUCUGGCUCAGGGUAGGUGGUGGUCCCACUAGUGGAGAAGGAGGUGGGUUGUUUAUUGCCACAUCCAGGGGGGCACUGGGGACGUCACCCCACCUGUCUCCCUGCACCUGGACCACACCUGGAGGUGGCAGGCAGUGUCCUAAGCUGAUCGCCAGGGAAGUCUUCAAGGCCCCCUGCCCCAGGGGUAGCACCAAGCCUUCUGCCGUCGGGGCUGGGGCAGGCCUAGGGGUCUCCUUUGGGCGUGGAGCCUUGAAUGGGCACCUGGAGAAAGAUGUUGGGGUCCCUCCUUCCCAGGGGCUCCCUUGGAGCUGGGAGGUCCUGCAUUUUGGCCUCUAAGGAGAGAGGGAAAGACACCCAGGACAGAGCCCGGUUGUAGGGAUGCAGGGCAAGGAUGUUCCUGGGACUGGCCUGGGCUUCCCAGCCAGCCAGGUCUGAGUUCAAAUCCCAGCCAUGCUGCAUACCUACAACUACCUGAUCUUCGACAGAGCUGACAAAAACAAACAAUGGGAGACAUUGCUUGUUUUUAUGUUUGUUGGCUGACAUACAUACAUACAUACAUGUCUUAAGACAUACAUGCAGUCAACAAGCAUAUGAAAAAGAGUUCAAUAUCAUUGAUCAUUAAAGAAAUGCCAGUCAGCUGGGCGCAGUGGCUUAUGCCUAUAAUCCCAGCACUUUGGGAGGCCGAGGUGGGAGGAUCACCUGAGGUCGGGAGUUCGAGACCAGCCUGACCAACAUGGAGAAACCCCGUCUCCACUAAAAAUACAAAAGUAGCCCAGCGUGGUGGUGCAUGCCUGUAAUCCCAGCUACUCAGGAGGCUGAGGCAGGAGAAUCGCUUGAACCUGGGAGGCAGAGGUUGUGGUGAGCUGAGAUCAUGCCAUUGCACUCCAGCCUGGGCAACAGGAGAAAAAGUCUGUCUAAGAAAAAGAAAGAGAGAGAAAGAAAGAAAGAGAAAGAAGGGAGGGAGGGAAGGAGGGAGGGAGGGAAGGAAGGAAGGAAGGAAGGAAGGAAAAAUGUCAGUCAAAACCAUGAUGAGAUAUCAUUUCACACCAGUCAGAAUGGCUCUUAUUAAAAAAUCAGAAAAUGGGCUGGGCGCAGUGGCUCACUCCUGUAAUCCCAGCACUGAGGCGGGCAGAUCACUGGAGGUCAGGAGUUUGAGACUAGCCAGGCCAAUGUGGCAAAACCGUGUCUCUGCUAAAAAUACAAAAAUUAGCUGGGUGUGGUGGUGUGCAUGUGUAAUCCCAGCUACUCAAGAGGCUGAGGCAGGAGAAUCGCUCGAACCCGGGAGGCGGAGGUUGCAGUGAGCUGAGAUCGGCCACUGCACUCUAGUCUGGGCGACAGAGCAAGAUUCUGUCUCAAAAAAAAAAAAAAAAAAAGUCAGAAAAUAACAGAUGCUAGCAAGGUUGUGGAGAAAAAGGAACACUUAUACACUAUCUGUGGGAGUGUAAAUUAGUUUAACCAUUGUGGAAGACAGUGUGGUGAUUCCUCAAAGACCUAAAGACGGAAAUACUAUUGAACCCAGCAAUCCCGUUACUCGUUAUCUACCCGAAGGAAUAGAAAUUGUUGUACCAUAAAGACACAUGCAUGUGUGUAUGUUCAUUGCAGCACUAUUCACAAUAGCAAAGACAUGGAAUCAACCUAAAUGCCCAUCAGUGACAGACUGGAUAAAGAAAAUGUGGUACAUAUACACCAUGGAAUACUAUGCAGCCAUAAAAAAUAAUGAGACCGUGUCCUUUGCAGGAACAUGGGUGGAGCUGGAAGACAUUAUCCUUAGCAAACUAAUGCAGGAACAGAAAACCAAAUACUGCAUGUUCUCACUUAUAAGGGGAACCUGAAUGAUGAGAACACAUGGACGCAUAGAGAGGAAGACACACACACUGGGGCCCAUCAAAGGGUAGAGGGUGGGAGGAAGGAGAGGAUCAAGAAAAAUAAUGAGGGGGUACUAGGCUUAAUACCUGGAUGAUGAAAUAAUCUACAACAGUCCCCCAUGACACAAGUUUACCUAUGCAAUAAACCUGCACGUGUACCCCUGAACUUCAAAUAAAAGUGACAUUAAAAAAAAGUCCUGGGCCGGGCGCGAUGGCGCACGCCUGUAAUCCCAGCACUUUGGGAGGCCGAGGUGGGCGGAUCACGAGGUCAGGAGUUCGAGACCAUCCUGGCUAACACAGUGAAACCUGGUCUCUACUAAAAAUACAAAAAAUUAGUCAGGCAUGGUGGCGGGCAGCUCCCUGUAGUCCCAGCUACUCGGGAGGCUGAGGCAGGAGAAUCGCUUGAA